CCCAACGCGUCAAAAUAAAUGCCAUGAUAAUAUUUUCGGCACCCAU
This 46-nucleotide small RNA is filed under the name Staphylococcus aureus. RNAcentral describes it as "HMPRFS0000_2765". Lineage: Bacteria; Bacillati; Bacillota; Bacilli; Caryophanales; Staphylococcaceae. The record is from RNAcentral.